This 253-nucleotide ribosomal RNA is filed under the name uncultured bacterium. RNAcentral's name for it is "partial 16S ribosomal RNA". It matches the Rfam family "Bacterial small subunit ribosomal RNA", at positions 524 to 776 of the family's 1533-position model. The record is from RNAcentral.
UACGUAGGGGCCGAGCGUUGUCCGGAGUUAUUGGGCGUAAAGCGCGCGCAGGCGGCUUGGCGCGCCCGACGUGAAAGCCCCCGGCUUAACCUGGGAACUGCAUUCGAGACUGCAUAGCUAGAGUAUGGGAGAGGGAAGUGGAAUUUCAGGUGUAGCGGUGAAAUGCGUAGAUAUCUGAAGGAACAUCAGUGGCGAAAGCGACUUCCUGGACCAAUACUGACGCUCAUGUGCGAAAGCGUGGGGAGCAAACAGG